RNAcentral lists this ribosomal RNA (253 nucleotides) under uncultured bacterium. Its description in RNAcentral is "partial 16S ribosomal RNA". It matches the Rfam family "Bacterial small subunit ribosomal RNA", at positions 524 to 776 of the family's 1533-position model. The record is from RNAcentral.
UACAGAGGGUGCAAGCGUUAAUCGGAGUUACUGGGCGUAAAGCGUGCGCAGGCGGUUGUGCAAGACCGAUGUGAAAUCCCCGGGCUUAACCUGGGAAUGGCAUUGGUGACUGCACGGCUAGAGUGUGUCAGAGGGGGGUAGAAUUCCACGUGUAGCAGUGAAAUGCGUAGAGAUGUGGAGGAAUACCGAUGGCGAAGGCAGCCCCCUGGGAUAACACUGACGCUCAUGCACGAAAGCGUGGGGAGCAAACAGG